CCCGCGGGGCGCUGGCCCUGUUGCUGCUGCUGCACCUCCUGACGGCGUCGUGCGGGCGGGCGGCCGCCGUCGAGCCCUGCGCCGCGCCCUGCUUGUGCCGCCGCGGCCUGCUGGACUGCAGCCGGCAGCGCCUGCCGCCCGGGGCCGGACCGCGGAGGAUCGCGCCGUUGCCCGCCGGCACCACGGCGAUGGAUUUAAGUCACAAUCAUAUCUUGUCAUCCAACUGGAGCAUGGAUUUGUCUGCUCACACGCUGCAAGAAGUGAAAAUGAAUUACAAUGAGCUGAGUGAAAUUCCCUAUUUUGGAGAAACGACUUCCAAUAUCACCCUGCUCUCACUGGUGCACAAUGCCAUUCCAGAAAUAAACGCUGAGCAGCUCCAAGUUUACCUUUCAUUGGAAAACCUGGAUCUGAGUUCCAAUCUUAUAUCAGAAAUUAAAGCUGCUUCUUUUCCACGGAUGCAGCUGAAGUACCUGAAUCUGAGUAACAACAGAAUCAGCACCCUGGAAGCAGGCUGCCUCGAUAAUUUAUCUAGCUCUCUCAUAGUGCUGAAGCUGAACAGAAAUAGGAUUAGUGUGAUUCCACCAAAGAUCUUCAAAUUGCCUCACGUGCAGUUUCUGGAACUGAAAAGGAACCGGAUUAAAAUUGUGGAAAGUCUUACAUUCCAAGGCCUGGAGUCCCUGAAAUCCUUAAAGAUGCAGCGCAAUGGGAUUAGCAGACUCAUGGAUGGAGCAUUCUUUGGCCUCAAUAGUAUAGAAGAAUUAGAACUGGAACAUAAUAACUUGACAGAAGUAAACAAGGGCUGGCUGUAUGGGCUGCGGACACUGCAACAACUCUUCAUAAGCCAGAAUGCCAUUAACAAGAUCAGCCCAGAUGCAUGGGAGUUCUGCCAAAGACUUGCUGAGCUAGACCUGUCGUACAACCAGCUAACUCGCCUCAGGGAAUCUGCCUUCGUGGGACUUGGUUUGCUGGAGAAACUGAACCUGGGAGACAAUCGGAUCAGUCACAUUGCUGAUGGUGUCUUCAGAGGUCUGACAAACCUUCGAACCCUGGACUUGGGGAACAAUGAGAUCUCCUGGGCCAUAGAGGAUGCGAAUGAAGCAUUUGUGGGACUCAGCAGGCUGGAUAAACUAAUCUUACAAGGAAAUCAGAUUAAAUCAAUUACGAAGAAAGCAUUCUCUGGUCUUGAAGGACUUGAACAUCUAGAUUUAAGCAACAACGCAGUAAUGUCCAUCCAAGAAAAUGCAUUUGCCCAGGCUCAACUGAAGGAGCUGGUUUUGAACACCAGCAGCUUGCUCUGUGAUUGCCAGCUGAAGUGGCUGCCACAGUGGCUCACUGACAGUCACUUCCAGCAGGCUGUGAACGUCAGCUGUGCUCACCCUGAGUGGCUGGCAGGGCAAAGCCUGUUCAGCGUGGAGCCUGAUGACUUCGUCUGUGAUAAUUUCCCUAAGCCACAGAUACGAGUGCAUCCUGAGACCACGAUUGCUCUGCGUGGCAUGAAUGUGACUCUGACCUGCACUGCUGUGAGCAGCAGCGAUUCACCCAUGUCCACUGCGUGGCGUAAGGACAGCGAAGUGCUGUAUGAUGCAGAGGUUGAGAAUUUUGCCAGGUAUCAGCAGCAGAAUGGUGAGAUUGUUGAGUACACCACUGUCCUCCACCUUUUCAAUGUGAAUUUCACCGAUGAAGGAAAAUAUCAGUGCAUCGUCACCAAUCACUUUGGCUCCAACUAUUCUGACAAAGCCAAGCUGACUGUUAAUGAGCUGCCUUCCUUCCUGAAGACCCCCAUGGAUCUCACAAUCCGCACUGGGGCGAUGGCCCGACUGGAGUGUGCUGCAGAGGGCCACCCCACCCCCCAGAUCUCCUGGCAGAAAGAUGGUGGCACAGACUUCCCUGCUGCACGAGAGAGGAGAAUGCACGUCAUGCCUGAGGACGACGUGUUCUUUAUUGCAAAUGUGAAAAUAGAAGACAUGGGCAUCUAUAGCUGUAUGGCACAAAACGCUGCUGGGGGUUUGUCAGCAAAUGCUACACUGACUGUGUUAGAAACUCCUUCCUUUAUUAGACCCUUGGAAGACAGAACAGUGACCAGAGGUGAAACUGCAGUCCUGCAGUGCAUAGCUGGUGGCAGCCCUGCCCCUCGCCUCAACUGGACUAAAGAUGAUGGACCUUUGGCUGUCACAGAGAGGCAUUUUUUCGCUGCGGCCAAUCAGCUCCUCAUCAUCGUGGACGCUGGGCUGGAGGAUGCUGGAAAGUACACCUGCAUUAUGUCCAACACGCUGGGCACUGAGCGUGGGCACAUUUACCUCAAUGUGUUGGCUUCCCCCAACUGCGACUCGUCCCAAAAUGGCAUCGUCCACGAGGAAGAUGGUUGGACGACAGUAGGCGUUGUGAUCAUCGUCGUGGUUUGCUGCGUUGUGGGAACUUCCCUGGUGUGGGUUAUUGUGAUUUACCACAUGAGAAGGAAGAGUGAAGAUUACAGCAUCACUAAUACAGAGGAGAUGAACCUACCUGCUGACAUUCCCAGUUAUUUAUCCUCCCAAGGAACGCUGUCAGAGCCUCAGGAAGGAUACAGUAACUCAGAGGCAGGAAGCCAUCAGCAGCUCAUGCCUCCAGCCAGCAGCUACGUGCACAAAAGCACAGAUGGUGGCACAGCACCACUGGUGAUCUGCUCAGACUGUUACGACAAUGCAAACAUCUACUCCAGGACACGAGAGUACUGUCCCUACACCUACAUCACAGAGGAGGACCCCCUGGAUCCAGCUCUCCCUAAUCUCAUGGUGCAGAUGCCCAAGGAAACAUACCCAGCACACACCCAGCAUGAGACCAGUGCUCUUGAUAAUGCUUAUGGAGACAGAGACAUGUCUGUCUUCCUUACCAGUCACGACAGAAUAAGUGAGAAGAAAAUCUCUUCCCAGCAGAUUAAUGAGCCCUUCCAGCUUCCCUUAUGGGCGGUAAACAAAGACCUGGCGCUCUCCCACUCGCACUUUCUGCAGCAGCAAUCGGCUCGUGAGGCCCCGCGACCUCUUCGAACUGAGGGAAUCCUUGACAGUGAGAGGGAGCAGGCUGCCUCACCCAGAGCCCUGCACAGGUUACGUGAGCAUAACUUUGAUUUUAAUAGGACACGGAACAUUCGCGACUACAGCGAAACCACGUAAGGCACGGGAACGGAGCCUUGGAAGCAAAUCCCUAUCAGCUGACUUGUAUUUCUACCUCAGGACUAAACUCUAGGCCAAAGAUGCUUUAAACGUGUGUCUGCAAUUCCAGGCUGCCUGAGCUGAGGCAGACCCCCCCUGGCAGGAGGUGGCACUGCCCUUUUUGCUUGGAUUCGUGUGUGCUGCAAGGUGGGACAGAACACGCAGUGAUCAGUGACUGGCGUUACAACGUGGAUCUUCUGAUGUUGGGAACAGCCUUUGUGUUGGUGCAUGCUUUGAAAAUCUCUCAAGAAUGCAUAGCUAUUUCACACCACAUUGUCUGCUUGAAAACAAAUGUUCAAGGCCUCCUCAUGGAAUUCCCCAGUAAUUGGAGGCACGUGUGCAUCUUCCAUAGCUGACAGCUAAAUGAACUUCUGCAAGGAGUGCCCUGAUGAAAGGCAUGGGGUGAGUUGGAAAAGCACGUGAUGAAUGCUCCACGAAAUCCAGAAUGGAUUUUCUGUUUCCUCUGCGCUGCCAGGAAGCACGUGGGCCUUUUCUUUCAUAAAAGAGCAACGGGAUUCUUGCUCUGUUAAACCCUGUAAAGGUUCUGUAGGCCACAGCGUGGUCAAGAUGUGAAGCAUUUGAGAGGUGAGCUGUUAAACAGCAGGAGAACCACUAUUGAAAAUGCAGCCCUUGCUGGGACAAAUAGCAGAAGUGCAGAAGUGUGUGACAAACUGAGGAGGAAGAGCAUUACAAAGACUUGUUCUGAGUUGUUCUUCUGGGAAAACACAUCUUUGUGUUUUGUGUGAUGUCCCAUCAGCGAUGGGCUUUGAGCAGAACGUUGCGCUCAGAGCUUGGGGUGCUUCAGUGCCUGAAAAGCUCGGGGUUUUCUGUCUCUGCUCUGCUUUUUCCAAGCCAUGGGCUACAGACUGAGUGAGAGCAGCUGUGUGGUAUGGCUGGAAAGACAGAACCUUCCUGGGGCAGCCCAAGCUGUAGGUCGGGAUUCCCACUGCUCCAUUCCUGCACAGUGUGUGACUGAGGGCUCGGAUGCAAAAUCGCAGCUGAAACUUCGGAGACUGGGGAAUGGUUAAGUGAAAGAGCCAGGAAAUGCUGGGAAAAAUAUUUUCCCACGUCUCUUUGGGCCUGAAUAGUAGAUGUAUGUAAAUGAGCAAAUGUUAUUGAGGGCUCUUACCUUUGUUUUGAAAGCAACAGCAGUUGCCUUGGUAGCCAGCAGCUUCAGUAGGAAGAGGACCUCAUUGUCUUUGACCUUUGUAUGAAGUGGGGAAGGAGGUGUGUUAAACUCUGCCUCUGACCUCUCAACUAUUGUAAGGACUUACACAUAACAUACCAAGAAUUGUGUGUUUGUUUCUUUCUGGUUUGGUUUUCUCCAGGCUUUUCCCUUCCAGACAGCAUUGAAGACGUUGUGGUUAUUUUCUAUCCCAACUUGUUUCUGUUGCAGGAGCUGUCAGUUUAAAUUCAAAUGAGAAAGGUCAGGUCAUAAAACUGCAGCAGCAGCACAGAGCUUCCUGUUGGACUGCUGGCUGCAGCUAUUCACACAGGCUGAUGUGGCAGAGCUCUGCUCAGCACGAGCAGGAAAGCAGCAUCCCUACUGCUGCUGCUUGGUCUGCCAUCAUCCUUUGGGACAUGUUGAAGUUUUCCUUCCAUCCCUCUUUGGGUUAAGCUAACACAGGUCUCAGCUCGCUUGGUUUAAGUGUUGAUGUUGGUGUGCAUGAGGAGCACCCAGAGCUGGAGUGCUCUUAAUGCACAGCUCUGCAGCACAACCAAAUUCACACGAAGUUGGCAGGAUGUGGUUGGCCAGGAGCAAAGCUUUAGCAUCGUGCUGCCUGCACCAGAACAAGCUGAAGCCUGAGUCUGAAAUGCAUUUAGGAGUUAAAGCUGCUCUGAUUUCUAGAAUAAUUCACCCAUAAAAGCUGCCAUUGUGAAUUAGGACGCUUGAAUCCUUGCAGCAAUGCAAUCUCUGUGAAGUCCAUAAGCUGGUUGUGAAUAGCUGAAGCUUGCAGGUAGGUGAAGGAAGGCCUGCACAUGAAGAUCAGGGGUUUCUUCCUUUCCUCCAUGACGUGCAGGCAGUGCAGUGGCCGUUCUGAUUUCAGUAAACAGUUUCUUCAAUCAAUGCCAAAGUAUUCAUGGUAGGGAAUGGAGGGCUGUGUGAUCAAAGCUGCUCUGCUUCCCUGUUGCUUUUUCCUACUAUUUUUUUUUCCUCACGUAAGAAUGUAUAUUUUGUAUAGGAUGUGUAAUAUAUGUUUGUCUAUUGUAACAUACCUUCAAUAAAAUGCUAUGUACACCGAGUAUCCAUUGUAAUUUCAUUAGUUUGCAGAUUAAAUAAUGUAUUGUUAUUGAAUGAUAUUUAAUUUUUAUAGGGAGGAAAAUAAAUUCAACUUCAUAAGUCAGUUUCAGGUGGGAU
This is an RNA transcript of Lagopus muta (rock ptarmigan), 5547 nucleotides long. It is a transcript of the gene named leucine rich repeats and immunoglobulin like domains 2, with no coding region annotated. The record is from RefSeq and is a predicted model, not a curated record. Lineage: Eukaryota; Metazoa; Chordata; Aves; Galliformes; Phasianidae. The transcript is spliced from 19 exons.